This 332-nucleotide unclassified non-coding RNA is filed under the name uncultured fungus. Its description in RNAcentral is "partial contains small subunit ribosomal RNA, internal transcribed spacer 1, and 5.8S ribosomal RNA". The stretch from base 1 to 73 matches the Rfam family "Eukaryotic small subunit ribosomal RNA", at positions 1759 to 1831 of the family's 1831-position model. The record is from RNAcentral. Lineage: Eukaryota; Fungi.
GCAAACUUGGUCAUUUAGAGGAAGUAAAAGUCGUAACAAGGUUUCCGUAGGUGAACCUGCGGAAGGAUCAUUAACAAAUUACAACAAACUCGUGUUGCCUUCUUGGUCAGUCCUAUUCUGUGUGUGUGCAUCUACACGCAUGGGGUGGUGAUGGGUUAAGGAGGACGUUACACAUUUUACACAUCUUGAUGGACAACUUGAUUUAGUAGGCAAGCAAGCAAGUAGACAACACUCUUUUUGAGGUUGUGUGCGCAUGUGAUGCCGAAAUCUCUUUAAUCGAAACAACUUUUAACAAUGGAUCUCUUGGCUCUUGCAUCGAUGAAGAACGCAGC